RNAcentral lists this unclassified non-coding RNA (219 nucleotides) under Hevea brasiliensis (rubber tree). The record is from RNAcentral. Lineage: Eukaryota; Viridiplantae; Streptophyta; Magnoliopsida; Malpighiales; Euphorbiaceae.
UAGUCGAUGACAAAGGAGCCUGGCUUUUCGAGGGUGAGGGCAAGGCCGUUGAGGGAGGGGCCUUUGGCGAUGGUGGCAUCGGUCGUGGAGACCUUGAAGCGGAGGUCGCCGACGGGGGCGGCGAGGGUGGCCACGGCGGAGGUCUUGUCGGCCUCGAAGCGGCCCUUCACCGUCGCCUUCAUGCUGGCGACAGCGGCGGCGGCGGCGGCGAGGUGCGGG